This 505-nucleotide ribosomal RNA is filed under the name uncultured bacterium. Its description in RNAcentral is "partial 16S ribosomal RNA". It matches the Rfam family "Bacterial small subunit ribosomal RNA", at positions 33 to 525 of the family's 1533-position model. The record is from RNAcentral.
GACGCUGGCGGUAUGCUUAGCACAUGCAAGUCGAACGGCAGCACAGGAUAGCUUGCUAUCCGGGUGGCGAGUGGCGGACGGGUGAGUAACGCGUAGGAAUCUACCUUUUCGUGGGGGAUAACCCGGGGAAACUCGGGCUAAUACCGCAUACGCCCUACGGGGGAAAGCGGGGGACCUUCGGGCCUCGCGCGGAAUGAUGAGCCUGCGUCCUAUCAGGUAGUUGGUGAGGUAAUGGCUCACCAAGCCGACGACGGGUAGCUGGUCUGAGAGGACGACCAGCCACACUGGGACUGAGACACGGCCCAGACUCCUACGGGAGGCAGCAGUGGGGAAUAUUGGACAAUGGGGGAAACCCUGAUCCAGCAAUACCGNGUGUGUGAAGAAUGCCUUCGGGUUGUAAAAGNCUUUUUANCANGAAAGAANGGCCGUGCGCUNAUACCGYAUGGNUCUGACGUUACUNGCNUAANNAGCACCGGAUAACUCCUGCCUUCANGCCGCGGCCUAA